GGGCCGCUAGCUCAUCAGGCAGAGCAAGGGCCUUUUAAGCCCUGGGUGCUGGGUUCGAGUCCCAGGCGGCCCA
This 73-nucleotide transfer RNA is filed under the name Candidatus Aquivivens invisus. RNAcentral's name for it is "Omnitrophica WOR_2 bacterium GWA2_63_20 tRNA-Lys". It matches the Rfam family "tRNA". Rfam says of the family: Transfer RNA (tRNA) molecules are approximately 80 nucleotides in length. Their secondary structure includes four short double-helical elements and three loops (D, anti-codon, and T loops). RNAcentral also lists the same sequence under 5 other names. Lineage: Bacteria; Pseudomonadati; Candidatus Omnitrophota. The record is from RNAcentral.